RNAcentral lists this transfer RNA (76 nucleotides) under Gammaproteobacteria bacterium. Its description in RNAcentral is "tRNA-Asp". It matches the Rfam family "tRNA". From Rfam's summary of the family: Transfer RNA (tRNA) molecules are approximately 80 nucleotides in length. The record is from RNAcentral. Lineage: Bacteria; Pseudomonadati; Pseudomonadota; Gammaproteobacteria.
GCCUUCGUAGCUCAAUCGGCAGAGCGCUGGUUUGUCAGGUCAGAGGUAGCCAGUUCGAAACUGGUCGAAGGCGCCA